AGCGAACGCUGGCGGCAGGCUUAACACAUGCAAGUCGAGCGCCCGUAGCAAUACGGGAGCGGCAGACGGGAGAGUAACACGUGGGAACAUGCCCUUCGGUUCGGAAUAACUCAGGGAAACUUGAGCUAAUACCGGAUACGUCCGUAAGGAGAAAGAUUUAUCGCCGAAGGAUUGGCCCGCGUCCGAUUAGCUUGUUGGUGAGGUAAUGGCUCACCAAGGCGACGAUCGGUAGCUGGCUGAGAGGAUGAUCAGCCUCACUGGGACUGAGACACGGCCCAGACUCCUACGGGAGGCAGCAGGUGGGGAAUAUUGGACAAUGGGCGAAAGCCUGAUCCAGCCAUGCCGNGUGGGUNAUGAAGCUUAGGGUUGUAAGCCCUUUCGGCGGGAAGAUAAUGACGGUACCGCAGAAG
Molecule: ribosomal RNA, 410 nt
Filed under: uncultured bacterium
Lineage: Bacteria
Description: bacterial SSU rRNA
Rfam family: Bacterial small subunit ribosomal RNA
Source: RNAcentral